This 406-nucleotide ribosomal RNA is filed under the name uncultured bacterium. RNAcentral describes it as "partial 16S ribosomal RNA". It matches the Rfam family "Bacterial small subunit ribosomal RNA", at positions 29 to 526 of the family's 1533-position model. The record is from RNAcentral.
AUUGAACGCUGGCGGCAGGCCUAACACAUGCAAGUCGAGCGAGCGGCGGACGGGUGAGUAAUGUCUGGGAAACUGCCUGAUGGAGGGGGAUAACUACUGGAAACGGUAGCUAAUACCGCAUACCAUCAGAUGUGCCCAGAUGGGAUUAGCUAGUAGGUGGGGUAACGGCUCACCUAGGCGACGAUCCCUAGCUGGUCUGAGAGGAUGACCAGCCAAACGGGAACUGAGACACGGUCCAGACUCCGACGGGAGGCAGCAGUGGGGAAUAUGUGACAAUGGGCGCAAGCCUGAUGCAGCCAUGCCGCGUGUGUGAAGAAGGCCUUCGGGUUGUAAAGCACUGUCAGCGGGGAGGCGUUACCCGAAGAAGAAGCACCGGCUAACUACGUGCCAGCAGCCGCGGUAAUUC